This 2767-nucleotide ribosomal RNA is filed under the name Clostridioides difficile P31. RNAcentral describes it as "bacterial LSU rRNA". It matches the Rfam family "Bacterial large subunit ribosomal RNA". Lineage: Bacteria; Bacillati; Bacillota; Clostridia; Peptostreptococcales; Peptostreptococcaceae. The record is from RNAcentral.
CUUAGAGUAAUGUCUAAGUAUCAUUAAGUGAAUACAUAGCUUAAUGAGGGGAACUCAGGGAACUGAAACAUCUAAGUACCUGAAGGAAGAGAAAGAAAUUCGAUUCCGUAAGUAGCGGCGAGCGAACGCGGAUUAGCCCAAACCAAUAAAGUUUUCUUUAUUGGGGUUGCGGACAUAUCAUAACGAAGAGGUAUCGUAAUUGAAGAGGUUUGGAAAGACCCACCACAGAAGGUAAUAGUCCUGUAUGUUAAACGAGAAGACUUCAGAUAUGAUCCAGAGUACCACGGGACACGUGAAACCCUGUGGGAAGCAGGAGGGACCACCCUCCAAGGCUAAAUACUACCUAGUGACCGAUAGCGUAUAGUACCGUGAGGGAAAGGUGAAAAGAACCCCGGGAGGGGAGUGAAAUAGAACCUGAAACCCUGCACUUACAAGCUGUGGAAGCACAUUUCUUGUGUGACCGCGUACUUUUUGUAGAACGGGCCAACGAGUUACGUUAAGUAGCAAGGUUAAGCACUUAAGGUGCGGAGCCGUAGCGAAAGCGAGUUUUAACUGAGCGUUCAGUUACUUGACGUAGACCCGAAACCGGGCGACCUACCCAUGAGCAGGAUGAAGCGAAAGUAAAAUUUCGUGGAGGUCCGAACCCACGAGCGUUGAAAAGCUCGGGGAUGACUUGUGGGUAGCGGUGAAAUUCCAAUCGAGCCCGGAGAUAGCUGGUUCUCCCCGAAAUAGCUUUAGGGCUAGCCUCAAGGUGAGAGAUACGGAGGUAGAGCACUGAAUGUCCUAGGGGGUAUUGCACCUACCGAAGACUAUCAAACUCCGAAUGCCGUCAUCUUAUACUUGGGAGUCAGACUGUGGGUGAUAAGAUUCAUAGUCGAAAGGGCAACAGCCCAGAUCGUCAGCUAAGGUCCCUAAAUGUAAGUUAAGUGGUAAAGGAUGUGGGAUUGCACAGACAACCAGGAUGUUGGCUUAGAAGCAGCCACUCAUUCAAAGAGUGCGUAAUAGCUCACUGGUCGAGUGAUCCUGCGCCGAAGAUUUCCGGGGCUAAAACUUACUACCGAAGCUACGGCAUCAGUAAUGAUGGGUAGGGGAGCUUCCCAUACGGGUUGAAGCAUGACCGUAAGGACAUGUGGACAGUAUGGGAGUGAGAAUGUUGGCAUGAGUAGCGAGAUGUGGGUGAGAAUCCCACAGGCCGUAAACCCAAGGUUUCCAGGGGAAGGUUCGUCCGCCCUGGGUUAGUCGGGACCUAAGCUGAGGCCGAAAGGCGUAGGUGAUGGACAACAGGUUGAUAUUCCUGUACUACCGAUAACCGUUUGAGAGAAGGGAUGACACAGUAGGAUAAGCUAAGCACACUGUUGGUUAUGUGUGCCCAAGCAUUGAGGCAGUCAAAGUAGGCAAAUCCGCUUUGAUAAUGCUGGGAUGUGAUGGGGAGCGAAAUUUAGUAGCGAAGUAGCUGAUUUCACACUGUCAAGAAAAGUCUCUAUCGAGGUUAAAGGUACCCGUACCGCAAACCGACACAGGUGGGUGAGGAGAGUAUCCUAAGGCCAGCGAGAGAACUGUUGUUAAGGAACUCGGCAAAAUGACCCCGUAACUUAGGGAUAAGGGGUGCCACCAUCAGGUGGCCGCAGAGAAUAGGCCCAAGCGACUGUUUACCAAAAACAUAGGUUUCUGCUAAGUCGCAAGACGAUGUAUAGGAGCUGACGCCUGCCCGGUGCUGGAAGGUUAAGGGGAUCUGUUAGAGCAAUCGAAGCAGUGAACUUAAGCCCCAGUAAACGGCGGCCGUAACUAUAACGGUCCUAAGGUAGCGAAAUUCCUUGUCGGGUAAGUUCCGACCCGCACGAAAGGCGUAACGAUUUGGGCACUGUCUCAACAACAGACUCGGUGAAAUUGUAAUUCCGGUGAAGAUGCCGGAUACCUGCGACAGGACGGAAAGACCCCAUGGAGCUUUACUGUAGCUUGACAUUGGGUCUUGGUACUACAUGUACAGGAUAGGUGGGAGGCUUUGAAACCAGGACGCCAGUUUUGGCGGAGCCAUCCUUGGGAUACCACCCUUGUAGUACUGGGACUCUAACCAUAGGCCAUGAAUCUGGUCUUGGGACACUGUCAGGUGGGCAGUUUGACUGGGGCGGUCGCCUCCCAAAAGGUAACGGAGGCGCUCAAAGGUUCUCUCAGUACGGUCGGAAAUCGUACGUAGAGUGUAAAGGCAAAAGAGAGCUUGAUUGCAAGACAUACAGGUCGAGCAAGGAUGAAAAUCGGACUUAGUGAUCCGGUGGUUCUGCGUGGAAGGGCCAUCGCUCAACGGAUAAAAGCUACCCUGGGGAUAACAGGCUUAUCUCCCCCAAGAGUCCACAUCGACGGGGAGGUUUGGCACCUCGAUGUCGGCUCAUCACAUCCUGGGGCUGUAGUAGGUCCCAAGGGUUGGGCUGUUCGCCCAUUAAAGUGGUACGCGAGCUGGGUUCAGAACGUCGUGAGACAGUUCGGUCCCUAUCCGUCGCAGGCGUAGGAAAUUUGAGAAGACCUGUCCUUAGUACGAGAGGACCGGGAUGGACGUACCUCUGGUGUACCAGUUGUCUGCCAAGGGCAUGGCUGGGUAGCUAUGUACGGAAUGGAUAAGCGCUGAAAGCAUCUAAGCGCGAAGCCAACUUCAAGAUAAGAUUUCCCACCGCAAGGGUAAGACCCCAGAAAGACUAUCUGGUUGAUAGGUCGAAGGUGUAAGUGCAGCAAUGUAUUUAGCUUAUCGAUACUAAUAGGUCGAGGACUUGACCAA